GGGUUGUGAGGUUAAGCGACUAAGCGUACACGGUGGAUGCCUUGGCAGUCAGAGGCGAUGAAGGGCGUGCUAAUCUGCGAUAAGCGCCGGUAAGGUGAUAUGAACCGUUAUAACCGGCGAUACCCGAAUGGGGAAACCCAGUGUGACUCGUCACACUAUCAUUAACUGAAUCCAUAGGUUAAUGAGGCGAACCGGGGGAACUGAAACAUCUAAGUACCCCGAGGAAAAGAAAUCAACCGAGAUUCCCCCAGUAGCGGCGAGCGAACGGGGAGGAGCCCAGAGCCUGAAUCAGCAUGUGUGUUAGUGGAAGCGUCUGGAAAGGCGCGCGAUACAGGGUGACAGCCCCGUACACAAAAGCGCAUGUGCUGUGAGCUCGAUGAGUAGGGCGGGACACGUGGUAUCCUGUCUGAAUAUGGGGGGACCAUCCUCCAAGGCUAAAUACUCCUGACUGACCGAUAGUGAACCAGUACCGUGAGGGAAAGGCGAAAAGAACCCCGGCGAGGGGAGUGAAAAAGAACCUGAAACCGUGUACGUACAAGCAGUGGGAGCCCCACCACUAAGCCAGUGGUGAACUCCACAUCCGCAUCCUUUGCUGAGGAUACGGUUAACGGAGCGAAAGCGACGUUCAACCGCAAAACAAGCAGAGGGGGCUUAGUGGUGGGGUGACUGCGUACCUUUUGUAUAAUGGGUCAGCGACUUAUAUUCUGUAGCAAGGUUAACCGUAUAGGGGAGCCGGAGGGAAACCGAGUCUUAAUUGGGCGUUAAGUUGCAGGGUAUAGACCCGAAACCCGGUGAUCUAGCCAUGGGCAGGUUGAAGGUUGGGUAACACUAACUGGAGGACCGAACCGACUAAUGUUGAAAAAUUAGCGGAUGACCUGUGGCUGGGGGUGAAAGGCCAAUCAAACCGGGAGAUAGCUGGUUCUCCCCGAAAGCUAUUUAGGUAGCGCCUCGUGAAUUCAUCUCCGGGGGUAGAGCACUGUUUCGGCUAGGGGGCCAUCCCGGCUUACCAACCCGAUGCAAACUGCGAAUACCGGAGAAUGUUAUCACGGGAGACACACGGCGGGUGCUAACGUCCGUCGUGAAGAGGGAAACAACCCAGACCGCCAGCUAAGGUCCCAAAGUCAUGGUUAAGUGGGAAACGAUGUGGGAAGGCCCAGACAGCCAGGAUGUUGGCUUAGAAGCAGCCAUCAUUUAAAGAAAGCGUAAUAGCUCACUGGUCGAGUCGGCCUGCGCGGAAGAUGUAACGGGGCUAAACCAUGCACCGAAGCUGCGGCAGCGACGCUGAUGCGUUGUUGGGUAGGGGAGCGUUCUGUAAGCCUGCGAAGGUGACCUGUGAGGGUUGCUGGAGGUAUCAGAAGUGCGAAUGCUGACAUAAGUAACGAUAAAGCGGGUGAAAAGCCCGCUCGCCGGAAGACCAAGGGUUCCUGUCCAACGUUAAUCGGGGCAGGGUGAGUCGACCCCUAAGGCGAGGCCGAAAGGCGUAGUUGAUGGGAAACGGGUUAAUAUUCCCGUACUUGGUGUUACUGCGAAGGGGGGACGGAGAAGGCUAUGUUGGCCGGGCGACGGUUGUCCCGGUUUAAGCGUGUAGGUGUGUGUUCCAGGUAAAUCCGGUUCACUUUAACACUGAGGCGUGAUGACGAGGCACUACGGUGCUGAAGCAACAAAUGCCCUGCUUCCAGGAAAAGCCUCUAAGCAUCAGGUAACAUCAAAUCGUACCCCAAACCGACACAGGUGGUCAGGUAGAGAAUACCAAGGCGCUUGAGAGAACUCGGGUGAAGGAACUAGGCAAAAUGGUGCCGUAACUUCGGGAGAAGGCACGCUGACACGUAGGUGAAGUGAUUUACUCAUGGAGCUGAAGUCAGUCGAAGAUACCAGCUGGCUGCAACUGUUUAUUAAAAACACAGCACUGUGCAAACACGAAAGUGGACGUAUACGGUGUGACGCCUGCCCGGUGCCGGAAGGUUAAUUGAUGGGGUCAGCGCAAGCGAAGCUCCUGAUCGAAGCCCCGGUAAACGGCGGCCGUAACUAUAACGGUCCUAAGGUAGCGAAAUUCCUUGUCGGGUAAGUUCCGACCUGCACGAAUGGCGUAAUGAUGGCCAGGCUGUCUCCACCCGAGACUCAGUGAAAUUGAACUCGCUGUGAAGAUGCAGUGUACCCGCGGCAAGACGGAAAGACCCCGUGAACCUUUACUAUAGCUUGACACUGAACAUUGAGCCUUGAUGUGUAGGAUAGGUGGGAGGCUUUGAAGUGUGGACGCCAGUCUGCAUGGAGCCGACCUUGAAAUACCACCCUUUAAUGUUUGAUGUUCUAACGUGGACCCGUAAUCCGGGUUGCGGACAGUGUCUGGUGGGUAGUUUGACUGGGGCGGUCUCCUCCUAAAGAGUAACGGAGGAGCACGAAGGUUGGCUAAUCCUGGUCGGACAUCAGGAGGUUAGUGCAAUGGCAUAAGCCAGCUUGACUGCGAGCGUGACGGCGCGAGCAGGUGCGAAAGCAGGUCAUAGUGAUCCGGUGGUUCUGAAUGGAAGGGCCAUCGCUCAACGGAUAAAAGGUACUCCGGGGAUAACAGGCUGAUACCGCCCAAGAGUUCAUAUCGACGGCGGUGUUUGGCACCUCGAUGUCGGCUCAUCACAUCCUGGGGCUGAAGUAGGUCCCAAGGGUAUGGCUGUUCGCCAUUUAAAGUGGUACGCGAGCUGGGUUUAGAACGUCGUGAGACAGUUCGGUCCCUAUCUGCCGUGGGCGCUGGAGAACUGAGGGGGGCUGCUCCUAGUACGAGAGGACCGGAGUGGACGCAUCACUGGUGUUCGGGUUGUCAUGCCAAUGGCACUGCCCGGUAGCUAAAUGCGGAAGAGAUAAGUGCUGAAAGCAUCUAAGCACGAAACUUGCCCCGAGAUGAGUUCUCCCUGAGACUUUAGGUCUCCUGAAGGAACGUUGAAGACGACGACGUUGAUAGGCCGGGUGUGUAAGCGCAGCGAUGCGUUGAGCUAACCGGUACUAAUGAACCGUGAGGCUUAACCUUACAACGCCGAAG
This 3028-nucleotide ribosomal RNA is filed under the name Salmonella enterica subsp. enterica serovar Typhimurium. Its description in RNAcentral is "23S ribosomal RNA". It matches the Rfam family "Bacterial large subunit ribosomal RNA". Lineage: Bacteria; Pseudomonadati; Pseudomonadota; Gammaproteobacteria; Enterobacterales; Enterobacteriaceae. The record is from RNAcentral.